Long non-coding RNA from Zophobas morio, 358 nucleotides. RefSeq lists it as uncharacterized. Lineage: Eukaryota; Metazoa; Arthropoda; Insecta; Coleoptera; Tenebrionidae. The record is from RefSeq and is a predicted model, not a curated record. The transcript is spliced from 4 exons.
UAGUCUAUAGAGCUAAAGCUGAAAAGAAUCAAUAAAUUUUUUUACAACUAUGAGCUUUCUACUCCCCCUUUUCCUUGGGGCACUAACACUUAGGGCUAUCUCCCACUCUGAAUGUGACGACCCUCUUACAGACUUUUUUAUAAAGUGGUCGCACUGUUCCUUCUUUACAUUUCCUCCUUUUGGUAAGGAGCUACCCUCAAGCGUACGCUCUUUAGAAAUUACCUAAAGUAAAAUUACUUAUCUCGGCGAAAAAGCAUUUAAAGAGCUUACCACACUAAAUAAUUUAAACUUGGGUAGCAAUGAAACCACUGCUAUUGGCGAAAACUUAUUUAAGGACCUAAAGAACCUUAGAAUCCUG